GCAAUGUCAUAUUGAAACACCGGUUCUCAUUCAUCGAUCACCGAAGUUAAGCACCGUCAAGCCUGGUCAGUACUUACAUAGGUGACCGCUUAGGAAUACCAGAUGCUGUAAG
Acanthosepion pharaonis is the source of this 112-nucleotide non-coding RNA. Lineage: Eukaryota; Metazoa; Mollusca; Cephalopoda; Sepiida; Sepiidae. The record is from the annotation of a GenBank genome assembly.